GGGUGAGUAAUGCCUAGGAAUCUGCCUGGUAGUGGGGGACAACGUUUCGAAAGGAACGCUAAUACCGCAUACGUCCUACGGGAGAAAGCAGGGGACCUUCGGGCCUUGCGCUAUCAGAUGAGCCUAGGUCGGAUUAGCUAGUUGGUGAGGUAAUGGCUCACCAAGGCGACGAUCCGUAACUGGUCUGAGAGGAUGAUCAGUCACACUGGAACUGAGACACGGUCCAGACUCCUACGGGAGGCAGCAGUGGGGAAUAUUGGACAAUGGGCGAAAGCCUGAUCCAGCCAUGCCGCGUGUGUGAAGAAGGUCUUCGGAUUGUAAAGCACUUUAAGUUGGGAGGAAGGGCAGUAAGAUAAUACCUUGCUGUUUUGACGUUACCGACAGAAUAAGCACCGGCUAACUCUGUGCCAGCAGCCGCGGUAAUACAGAGGGUGCAAGCGUUAAUCGGAAUUACUGGGCGUAAAGCGCGCGUAGGUGGUUUGUUAAGUUGGAUGUGAAAGCCCCGGGCUCAACCUGGGAACUGCAUC
This 527-nucleotide ribosomal RNA is filed under the name Pseudomonas sp. Its description in RNAcentral is "bacterial SSU rRNA". It matches the Rfam family "Bacterial small subunit ribosomal RNA", at positions 104 to 627 of the family's 1533-position model. Lineage: Bacteria; Pseudomonadati; Pseudomonadota; Gammaproteobacteria; Pseudomonadales; Pseudomonadaceae. The record is from RNAcentral.